This 460-nucleotide ribosomal RNA is filed under the name uncultured bacterium. RNAcentral's name for it is "partial 16S ribosomal RNA". It matches the Rfam family "Bacterial small subunit ribosomal RNA", at positions 338 to 795 of the family's 1533-position model. The record is from RNAcentral.
CCUACGGGUGGCAGCAGUGAGGAAUAUUGGUCAAUGGGCGCGAGCCUGAACCAGCCAAGCAGCGUGAAGGAUGAAUGUCCUACGGGUUGUAAACUUCUUUUAUAAAGGAAUAAAGUGAGGCACGUGUGCCUUAUUGCAUGUACUUUAUGAAUAAGGAUCGGCUAACUCCGUGCCAGCAGCCGCGGUAAUACGGAGGAUCCGAGCGUUAUCCGGAUUUAUUGGGUUUAAAGGGAGCGUAGAGGGGUUGUUAAGUCAGUGGUGAAAGCUUGCGGCUCAACCGUAGAACUGCAAUUGAUACUGGCAGUCUGGAGUACAGGUGAGGUAGGCGGAAUUCGUGGUGUAGCGGUGAAAUGCUUAGAUAUCACGAAGAACUCCGAUUGCGAAGGCAGCUUACUGGACUGCCACUGACGUUGAUGCUCGAAAGUGUGGGUAUCAAACAGGAUUAGAUACCCCAGUAGUC